Molecule: unclassified non-coding RNA, 450 nt
Filed under: Hevea brasiliensis (rubber tree)
Lineage: Eukaryota; Viridiplantae; Streptophyta; Magnoliopsida; Malpighiales; Euphorbiaceae
Source: RNAcentral
AGAAUUUCGAUUUUGUGAGUUGGGUUUACAUAUUUGUUCAACUUCAUCGCCUUCUCGUCAAUCCUGUGAUAUUAUCAAUUUUUUCAUCGGACAUUUUUUAGGUAAAAAAAUGAUUCACAAACGGCCUUUUGUUGACGAUGAUUCUUAUGAGGUUGCUUGUAAGCACCCUAGACACCUUGAACACAUUGAACAGUUUGCUCCAAUUGCCCCUCCUAAUGAUUCUCACCAGAAAGCUGUAAUUUCAGAUGGUGAUGACAGUCUCUGUAACUGUCAAGAUGUUGGGAGCUCUGCAAAUGAUUUGGUCACAGUUGUUUCAAAUGACCCCAACAGCUUAGAAAGUGGUCCUUCUGGCUAUUUGCCCCAUUUUUUUUGGAUCAACAACGGAAUUCUUGAAGCAGAUAACCUCUCAGUUUUCCCAGAGUAUUUUGAUCAUGGACACCAGCUAAGGGC